AUAAAAUUAAUUUUGAUGGUCGCAAAACUUCCCGGAACAGAUAAACAGGGCAGAAGGGAACGAGGGAAGCCUCGGGAAAUGGCCUCCACUAUUCAGCCACCAAUUAACGGUCGCUUUCUAUCUUCUCCUUCCUCAAGCUUCCCUGCUCAACAUCGCUCUGCUACUAUCCUCAAGUGGCAAUGGAGAAGCGACCAAGAUGCGAGUUUAGUUUCCAGCAGAACCAGGGGUCAAGCAUUUCGAAUAUUGGCAAAUUCCACUGUUUCUUCAGGGAAAGAUGGUUCAAAAAAUGAUGUUAUCAUGGUUGAUCCUGUGGAAGCCAAGCGAUUGGCUGCCAAACAAAUGGAAAAAAUUAAAGCUAGGGAGAAGCUCAAGAGGAGACGUCAAAUUGAGGCGAUCAAUGGCGCAUGGGCGAUGAUUGGUCUCACAGCAGGCUUGGUUGUUGAGGGUAAAACCGGAAAAGUCAUUCUAAUGCAGUUGGCAGAUUACUUGAGUGCAAUUAUUCAUGUUUUUGUGCGGUAGACCCUUCCAAGAGCCGAGAGGUGUUUGGGUACAUAUUCAAGAACGACAGAUUCUUUCGCACAUUCUUUGCCGUCGAUAUGUGCAAGCUAUACCAUGUAGGUAAGUUUGUAGGAUAGUGCAUGUGAGCUUCUAAAUCUUCUAUUUGGAGUCAAGGUAUCAGAAGGGACUUGCUGUCAUAUGAUUCCUCAAUGCAGGAUAAAUAUGUGCUGGUGAAGGAAACUCGUAUCAAUACAAUUCAUGUGUAAGUUCAUGAUGUUUCUAGUGUUACUGCAAAACUCAACUUUAGCACUCAUUACAAGAAAACGAACAAAAAAUUUCAACUGAAGCAUCUGCUGGAAAAAAAUGUUUGUUAUUUAUUUUUAUUUUUAUUUUUUUAUUGUCCAUAGAUGUCUUUGUAUUGGAAGAUUUUUUUUUUUUUUUUUUUUUGGAGACACGGUCGAACACCACACGAGACAUUGAAUUCUCGUUAUUGGAAUUGAAUCUCUUUAAUA
Molecule: RNA transcript, 1010 nt
Organism: Prosopis cineraria
Lineage: Eukaryota; Viridiplantae; Streptophyta; Magnoliopsida; Fabales; Fabaceae
Exons: 6
Source: RefSeq, a predicted model, not a curated record